Molecule: long non-coding RNA, 259 nt
Filed under: Ananas comosus (pineapple)
Lineage: Eukaryota; Viridiplantae; Streptophyta; Magnoliopsida; Poales; Bromeliaceae
Description: long non-coding RNA (ACOM_LNC023244)
Source: RNAcentral
UCAACCUCAAAAGAAAAGUACAUGAAAACAACCCAGACCCUCGCCAGUGCAGGCAGAUUGUACAACAUAGCACUCUAUCUGGUGGUCCUCUACUGAAAAUGCAUGCUGGUAGGAGAUGCUAACUACUGCGCGAUCCCUCUCACCUCGAUCAACUGACAGUAUACGAACCCCUGAAAAGCAAACCACCAAAGGGUGUGAGAACUACUAAACAGUAGUUCCCAGUGGGUACGGUCAACGAUAACCACGACCUUCCCACUAG